UAAGACAGAGGGGGCAAGCGUUGCUCGGAAUCACUGGGCGUAAAGGGCGCGUAGGCGGGAUGGCAAGUCGGUCGUGAAAUCCCUCGGCUCAACCGAGGAGCGUCGGCCGAUACUGCCGUUCUUGAGGGAUGCAGAGGAGACUGGAAUUCCCGGUGUAGCGGUGAAAUGUGUAGAGAUCGGGAGGAACACCGGUGGCGAAGGCGGGUCUCUGGGCAUCUCCUGACGCUGAGGCGCGAAAGCGUGGGGAGCAAACGGGAUUAGAUACCCCGGUAGUCCACGCUGUAAACGAUGACGACUAGGUGUGGGGUGGUUCAGUCCAUUCCGUGCCGCAGCUAACGCAUUAAGUCGUCCGCCUGGGGAGUACGGCCGCAAGGUUG
Molecule: ribosomal RNA, 377 nt
Filed under: uncultured bacterium
Lineage: Bacteria
Description: bacterial SSU rRNA
Rfam family: Bacterial small subunit ribosomal RNA
Source: RNAcentral